GUACACACCGCCCGUCACACCAUGGGAGUCAGUUGCUCCAGAAGCAGGUAGUCUAACCGCAAGGAGGGCGCUUGCCACGGUGUGAUUCAUGACUGGGGUGAAGUCGUAACAAGGUUUCCGUAGGUGAACCUGCAGAAGGAUCA
This 143-nucleotide ribosomal RNA is filed under the name uncultured eukaryote. RNAcentral's name for it is "partial small subunit ribosomal RNA". It matches the Rfam family "Bacterial small subunit ribosomal RNA", at positions 1383 to 1525 of the family's 1533-position model. The record is from RNAcentral.